CGAAGGGUGCAAGCGUUGCUCGGAAUUAUUGGGCGUAAAGGGUAGGUAGGUGGUAAUAAAAGUCUGGGGUGAAAUCCCUGAGCUCAACUCGGGAAGUGCCUUGGAAACUUUAUUACUAGAGUGCUGGAGAGGUCCGCAGAAUUCCCGGUGUAGCGGUGAAAUGCGUAGAGAUCGGGAGGAAUACCAGAGGCGAAGGCGGCGGACUGGACAGCAACUGACACUCAACUACGAAAGCGUGGGUAGCAAACAGGAUU
Molecule: ribosomal RNA, 254 nt
Filed under: uncultured bacterium
Lineage: Bacteria
Description: partial 16S ribosomal RNA
Rfam family: Bacterial small subunit ribosomal RNA
Source: RNAcentral